AUGGCCAAGUGUGUUUGGUGUCUAGUAGAUGAGGAGCUUGUUGAACAUAUGAUUGGGAUCAGAUCAAAUGAUGCUCGGUUUUGGCUAAUGGAACUAGUGGAUACUCUGAAGGAAGAUGAGGUUGUCAUAGUGCUAGUUACUCUAUGGGCAAUUUGGUGGGCACGAAGAAAAGCAAUCCACGAGCAGGAAUUUUGGUCGCCAUUGAGUACAUUCAGCUUUGUGCAGAGAUAUCUGAAUGAUCUGUCUUUGAUCCCCAAGGGGCAUCAGCAAGGGGGGGCGCCAACCUCCUCAGAACCUGGGCCUCCCACAGACUGCUUAACAGUGGUCAACAAUCUAGAGAGCUCGUACCUGGGUAGAUGCAGCCCAAUUAUCCAAGACAUUAAAGAGAUGAUGACUGAAUUUGAAGAGGUCCACAUCAUGCAUGAAAAGAGAGAACAUAUAUGGGAGGCUCACGAUUUAGCCAAGUUUUCUGUUACCUUAGAUUCGGGGCGCCAUUUGUGGCUUCUAAAUCCCCCAGCUUUUAUGUACUUGCCACUAUCAAUUCCCGUUGAAUAA
This 555-nucleotide ribosomal RNA is filed under the name Triticum aestivum (bread wheat). Its description in RNAcentral is "partial small subunit ribosomal RNA". Lineage: Eukaryota; Viridiplantae; Streptophyta; Magnoliopsida; Poales; Poaceae. The record is from RNAcentral.